GACGAACGCUGGAGGCGUGCUUAACACAUGCAAGUCGAACGAUGAAAUGGAGCUUGCUCCAUGGAUUAGUGGCGAACGGGUGAGUAACACGUGAAUAACCUGCCCUUAAUUUUGGAAUAACCCAGGGAAACCUGGGCUAAUACCGGAUAAGUAAACCUGUGGCAUCACAUGGUUUUGGAAAGUUUUUCGAUUAAGGAUGGAUUCGCGGCCUAUCAGCUUGUUGGUGAGGUAAUGGCUCACCAAGGCGACGACGGGUAGCCGGCCUGAGAGGGUGAAAGGCCACACUGGGACUGAGACACGGCCCAGACUCCUACGGGAGGCAGCAGUGGGGAAUAUUGCGCAAUGGACGAAGGUCUGACGCAGCGACGCCUCGUGAGGGACGAAGGUCUUCGGAUUGUAAACCUCUUUCAGCAGGGACGAAGCGAAAGUGACGGUACCUGCAGAAGAAGCACCGGCUAACUAUGUGCCAGCAGCCGCAGUAA
RNAcentral lists this ribosomal RNA (482 nucleotides) under uncultured bacterium. RNAcentral describes it as "partial 16S ribosomal RNA". It matches the Rfam family "Bacterial small subunit ribosomal RNA", at positions 28 to 523 of the family's 1533-position model. The record is from RNAcentral.